CAGCAGCCACGGUAAAACGUAGGGUGCAAGCGUUAAUCGGAAUUACUGGGCGUAAAGAGCUCGUAGGCGGUCUGUCGCGUCUGCUGUGAAAACUGGGGGCUCAACCCCCAGCCUGCAGUGGGUACGGGCAGACUAGAGUGCGGUAGGGGAGAUUGGAACUCCUGGUGUAGCGGUGGAAUGCGCAGAUAUCAGGAAGAACACCGAUGGCGAAGGCAGAUCUCUGGGCCGUAACUGACGCUGAGGAGCGAAAGCAUGGGGAGCGAACAGGAUUAGAUACCCGGGUAGUCCCUGUCUCUUAUAU
Molecule: ribosomal RNA, 301 nt
Filed under: uncultured bacterium
Lineage: Bacteria
Description: partial 16S ribosomal RNA
Rfam family: Bacterial small subunit ribosomal RNA
Source: RNAcentral